RNAcentral lists this unclassified non-coding RNA (21 nucleotides) under Chlamydomonas reinhardtii. Its description in RNAcentral is "small RNA Cre_3264". Lineage: Eukaryota; Viridiplantae; Chlorophyta; Chlorophyceae; Chlamydomonadales; Chlamydomonadaceae. The record is from RNAcentral.
UGGAGGGCGUGCCGCGCGGUU